This 348-nucleotide unclassified non-coding RNA is filed under the name soil metagenome. Its description in RNAcentral is "partial contains 5.8S ribosomal RNA, internal transcribed spacer 2, and large subunit ribosomal RNA". The stretch from base 1 to 120 matches the Rfam family "5.8S ribosomal RNA", at positions 35 to 154 of the family's 154-position model. The record is from RNAcentral.
GAUGAAGAACGCAGCGAAAUGCGAUAAGUAAUGUGAAUUGCAGAAUUCAGUGAAUCAUCGAAUCUUUGAACGCACAUUGCGCCCGCCAGUAUUCUGGCGGGCAUGCCUGUCUGAGCGUCAUUUCAACCCUCAUGCCCCUAGGGCGUGGUGUUGGGGAUCGGCCAAAGCCCGCGAGGGACGGCCGGCCCCUAAAUCUAGUGGCGGACCCGUCGUGGCCUCCUCUGCGAAGUAGUGAUAUUCCGCAUCGGAGAGCGAUGAGCCCCUGACGUUAAACCCCCAACUUUCCAAGGUUGACCUCAGAUCAGGUAGGAAUACCCGCUGAACUUAAGCAUAUCAAUAAGCGGAGGA